Molecule: ribosomal RNA, 1072 nt
Filed under: Methanosarcina mazei
Lineage: Archaea; Methanobacteriati; Methanobacteriota; Methanomicrobia; Methanosarcinales; Methanosarcinaceae
Description: bacterial SSU rRNA
Rfam family: Archaeal small subunit ribosomal RNA
Source: RNAcentral
UAUCAGGUAGUAGUGGGUGUAAUGUACCUACUAGCCAGCGACGGGUACGGGUUGUGAGAGCAAGAGCCCGGAGAUGGAUUCUGAGACAUGAAUCCAGGCCCUACGGGGCGCAGCAGGCGCGAAAACUUUACAAUGCGGGAAACCGUGAUAAGGGGACACCGAGUGCCAGCAUCAUAUGCUGGCUGUCCGGAUGUGUAAAAUACAUCCGUUAGCAAGGGCCGGGCAAGACCGGUGCCAGCCGCCGCGGUAACACCGGCGGCCCGAGUGGUGAUCGUGAUUAUUGGGUCUAAAGGGUCCGUAGCCGGUUUGGUCAGUCCUCCGGGAAAUCUGAUAGCUCAACUAUUAGGCUUUCGGGGGAUACUGCCAGACUUGGAACCGGGAGAGGUAAGAGGUACUACAGGGGUAGGAGUGAAAUCUUGUAAUCCCUGUGGGACCACCUGUGGCGAAGGCGUCUUACCAGAACGGGUUCGACGGUGAGGGACGAAAGCUGGGGGCACGAACCGGAUUAGAUACCCGGGUAGUCCCAGCCGUAAACGAUGCUCGCUAGGUGUCAGGCAUGGCGCGACCGUGUCUGGUGCCGCAGGGAAGCCGUGAAGCGAGCCACCUGGGAAGUACGGCCGCAAGGCUGAAACUUAAAGGAAUUGGCGGGGGAGCACAACAACGGGUGGAGCCUGCGGUUUAAUUGGACUCAACGCCGGACAACUCACCGGGGGCGACAGCAAUAUGUAGGCCAAGCUGAAGACUUUGCCUGAAUCGCUGAGAGGAGGUGCAUGGCCGUCGCCAGUUCGUACUGUGAAGCAUCCUGUUAAGUCAGGCAACGAGCGAGACCCGUGCCCACUGUUACCAGCAUGUCCUCCGGGACGAUGGGUACUCUGUGGGGACCGCCGAUGUUAAAUCGGAGGAAGGUGCGGGCCACGGUAGGUCAGUAUGCCCCGAAUCUCCCGGGCUACACGCGGGCUACAAUGGAUGGGACAAUGGGUCCCUCCCCUGAAAAGGGCUGGUAAUCUCACAAACCCAUUCGUAGUUCGGAUCGAGGGCUGUAACUCGCCCUCGUGAAGCUGGAAUCCGUAGU